GAAUUCGCCCUUAGAGUUCGAUUCUGGGUCAGGACGAACGCUGGCGGCGUGCCUAACACAUGCAAGUCGAGCGAUGAAAAAGAAGUAGAUCUCUUCGGAGUGACACCUCUUUGGAUUAGCGGCGGACGGGUGAGUAACACGUGAGCAACCUGCCGUACACAUUGGGAUAGCCUCGGGAAACUGGGAUUAAUACCAAACGAAACAUAUUGAUAGCAUUAUCAAAAUGUCAAAGAUUUAUCGGUGUACGAUGGGCUCGCGUCUGAUUAGCUAGUUGGUGAGAUAAAAGCUCACCAAGGCAAUGAUCAGUAGCCGGCCUGAGAGGGUGAUCGGCCACAUUGGGACUGAGACACGGCCCAAACUCCUACGGGAGGCAGCAGUGGGGAAUAUUGCACAAUGGAGGGAACUCUGAUGCAGCGACGCCGCGUGAGCGAAGAAGGAAUUCGUUUCGUAAAGCUCUGUCCUAUGGGAAGAUAAUGACGGUACCAUAGAAGAAAGCCCCGGCUAACUACGUGCCAGCAGCCGCGGUAAUACGUAGGGGGCGAGCGUUGUCCGGAAUUAUUGGGCGUAAAGGGUUCGUAGGCGGUAAUACAUGUCAGAUGUGAAAUCUUGUGGCUUAACCACAUCAAGCAUCUGAAACUGUAUAACUUGAGUGGAGGAGAGGUAAGUGGAAUUCCUAGUGUAGCGGUGAAAUGCGUAGAUAUUAGGAAGAAUACCAGUAGCGAAGGCGACUUACUGGCCUCUAACUGACGCUGAUGAACGAAAGCGUGGGUAGCAAACAGGAUUAGAUACCCUGGUAGUCCACGCCGUAAA
This 810-nucleotide ribosomal RNA is filed under the name uncultured bacterium. Its description in RNAcentral is "bacterial SSU rRNA". It matches the Rfam family "Bacterial small subunit ribosomal RNA", at positions 1 to 806 of the family's 1533-position model. The record is from RNAcentral.